UUCUUGAGUUUUACCCCACAAAGCAGUAUCAUGUUAACAAUUUGGAUGUUAUUGGUUCCUGGAUAAAUUAAUUCUUGAACUUGUUUUAUUGAAUUCUUAUAUCAUUGUCAUCAUCCUCAUGUUUAUAUUAUGUUGAAAGUCAUCUGUGGCAUGUAGUGCAUAGAUGGACUUGGUAUGAUUAUGACCAGGGAUUAUUCGGUGUAAUCAUGACNNN
RNAcentral lists this long non-coding RNA (214 nucleotides) under Panax ginseng (ginseng). RNAcentral describes it as "long non-coding RNA (PGIN_LNC003296)". Lineage: Eukaryota; Viridiplantae; Streptophyta; Magnoliopsida; Apiales; Araliaceae. The record is from RNAcentral.